Pelobates cultripes (western spadefoot toad) is the source of this 207-nucleotide non-coding RNA. Lineage: Eukaryota; Metazoa; Chordata; Amphibia; Anura; Pelobatidae. The record is from the annotation of a GenBank genome assembly.
GGAAAAGUAUGUUGUAUCGGUCACAAAAGGAUUGUGAUCUUAAGCAGGCGAGACAAGGACAUUUGGGAGGUGAUAGGAGAUUGAAUCAGAAAAGUUUUGAAAGCAAAGGUAGAGAAUUUGAUCAAAGGAUCUAACUUUUGUAGAGGUGGUAACUUCAGCACUGUUUUAAUUGUGGAUAGCAGGGAUUCGCCCCAAGGUGCUCGUGGU